GCUGAAUUAGAAGAACUCAAUAAGUUUCUUGACUCAAAUAUCAAAGCAGGGCAGCAGCAGAUAAUGUCGAAGCAGCAGGUUGCCAGUUAUCCUGUAGGAAUUACAAACAUUGAACAGCUUGAGAAACUGGUUGCCACUUGCGAAGCAGAGUUAGGAGCUCUCAUACUAAAAUGUUCAGAACUAUCCAAGUCUCCCAAAAAUAUGGAUGCUCUCAAAGAAGCUAUGCUGAAGAAAAAGCUUCUGAUCGAUAUGCUCAAAACGUUGAAAAGAAAACAACCUGUUUCUUCAGCACCACUCACAACAGUCACAUCCAGCAAGCCAGUGGUUGCAUCAACAGCAGUUGCACCUCAUGCCUCGAGUUCCCUGGCAACAGACCUCAGUAGCUCUAGUCCUAAAUCUCUGGCUGUCCCUGUUCCUAGCAAAUUAGCAGCUUCAUCUGGUCAUAAGCAAGAGACGUUGAAUGUGGAUGAAGUUACCUCAAUCUCUUGUGACUCCACCUCGCUUUCAAAGGUAAUUAUAUUUCUUUUAUAAUUACUACCAUAAAACCUCAGUUUAUUUUAUCUUGUAAAGAAAGAUUCUGUUGUUUAACAAGUAAGUUGUUUGCUCACGAAGGGACCUAUCAGAUCCAAGUAAAAUCACCAAAAAUCGUUGGAUUGGAAAUUGCCAUCAAUUUUCAUCCAUCAUAUAAUUUUUCUCAAAAAGUUUUUACCCUGUAAAUUUCCUUUGUACUUAUCUACUAUUAUUCUAGCCGAGAUCAUAAAAAGGAAAAAAGCGAUCACUGUUUCAGUCACCUGCCAAUGUGGGUCAUGGCAGGACGGAAUUUGAGUUAGACAUGAGCACGUAUUUGAGUCUAGCAUCUGCCUCCUUAGUUUAACUUUCACUAAUAAAAUUUUGACUUGUACAGUAUAUCAGAAUUUUAAGAUUCCAGAGAUACAUCUGACUAAAAAUUAGGUUUACAGAACCACAUCUGACCGAGAACUAGGAUUCCAAAAAUACAUCCGACUGAGUGCGUCUCAGCGAAUUGCUGAUUAUAACUAGGGCAGUGGGAAAGAGAAUGUCACGACAUUCCUGUAUUAUUCAUUACUUGCCUCAGAAUGGCACGUAUCUGUGCUGUCCUAUUCUUUUUUCUUCUGCUGUCCCAUGUCCCAUCAUUAUAUGUUGAUUUUCUUGUCCAAUUGAAGUAUGUUUCUCCUAUCUAUCUUGUGUUAUUGCAGUCCUUGACCCUGUCCCAGUGUCAUCAACUCAUUGUGUCAAUGUCCAUUUUCCACUAAUCAAAUAUCUCCUCAGCAUGGUCCAUGUAAUUCCAUUUGCAUGAAAGUUCAUUGGUGCCUGGCAAUCCUGUAUCUAAUUAAUCGUGAACUGUCAGAAAGUAUUUGUGACUGCUUUCUUCCUUGUUUGCAAUAAUUUGGCCAAAAUAGUUGAAGAUAUGUAAAAAAAUUCUUUGUGGUAAGAAUCCGUUUUUGUAAAGCAGACGCUAAUUUAGUCAGGAUUUGAGUAAACCUUGAAUUAUUAUCAUAAGUCUUAUGGGAAAUCAACGGGCCCAGGCGAAAAAUUUGACUUAGUGAGAAAUUCAUUCAAGUGGCUUACAACUAAAGGAGGGCAGGAUUCUUAGGUGCCACACUAGGGUCCCUGCAGUUUUAAUGCAAAGAGAAAGAUAAAUGAGAUGAAGGGAAGUCAGGAUUGUCAGAUGAUUAACAAGAGAUUAUGCAGCCACGGUACACACUAAACUCUCUCAGUCUGAUAAGAAGUCAAGCAGUUAGUCAGUGUGAGCUGAAGCCUACAGAUUGCAUCAGAGUACCCACAGACAGAGUAUGGCCAUUCCUAUCUUCUUAGCACAGCAAAGUUGUGCCCUUUCUUUGAUUGGUCUACAAAUUAUGGGCUAUUAUGAUGCCCUUACGACCAUACAUAAACGUACGUGCUUAUUGUUGGAUAGGCUUCUAAAAUUAAAGCCAACCCCCUCACAAGAAAUUACUCCAGAUGCUUUGUUACCAACCCACUGUUUCUAGAUUAACCCAAUUUAUAGUAUUCUGCGUUGCAAGGAUUUGACAUCUUGUUCGUUUACAUAUAGCCGUAUGCGUACCGUAGCAGCCUAUUUUUCAUGACUAAUGAAAACCGGCACACAAAUGACCAUACUCUGUCUAUGAAGA
This 2147-nucleotide long non-coding RNA is filed under the name Bemisia tabaci. RNAcentral describes it as "lncRNA ENSSSA3NGG003450". Lineage: Eukaryota; Metazoa; Arthropoda; Insecta; Hemiptera; Aleyrodidae. The record is from RNAcentral.